Molecule: long non-coding RNA, 1894 nt
Filed under: Heterocephalus glaber (naked mole-rat)
Lineage: Eukaryota; Metazoa; Chordata; Mammalia; Rodentia; Bathyergidae
Description: lncRNA (ENSHGLG00100047260.1)
Source: RNAcentral
GUUGAGAGUCCCUGCUCGAGCUUGAAUAAAUGACCCUCGUGUGUUUGCAUUGGAAUCGGCUCCUUGGUGGUCUUCGGGGUCCUCACGAUGUGGGCACAACAGGUGAAGAGCUCAGGAAGGAAACCAAGAUGGCUGACGGACGUGCUGGUCCCAACACUCGCGCGAAGCUGCAUUUCAUAUGAGUGGCCGUGGAGACCGCUGACUCUCACCACCGGAAAGACUGGAACUUUGUCCGACUCCAAGUCCCAGGAGGACAGCACAGGAAGAGUAAACAACCGCCCUAGAACUGCCUGAGGAGUGGGGAGCUCACCUUUGCCAGUGAGAGGUGGAGCCAGCAGACACAGUCACCCUGCUUGCUGGCAGUCUGAGCUUCUGCAGUCUCAGUCCUCACAAGUUUACAGCCCAGUGAGGGACACAUCCUUUGUGUGAACAGUGUUUGCCCAUAGAGGAAGUCACAUCAUCUCCAACACCCAGGCAGCUGCAGCUAGGGGCCAUCUUGAGGAGGGAGCUAUCUCUACAUUUCUAUUGCUCUAGGAGUCAGGAACCCCUGCAAGUGCCCUGUCUGGGACCUCAUGGAGAGGCUACCAAAGGAGCACAGGGGUUACCAGCUCAGCUCAGAGAGCUCAGAGAGCACCUCCUACCCAGCACCCCAGCCCACUCAGAAUCCUUGUUCCAAGAGACAGAUGUUUAGGCACAGGGAGCACUAUACUGCCCUUGAGAACUGGGGUACAAGGGUUUGCACCAAUCAAAAUUAAAACUGGAAAGAAAAGAUGUCAGGGAAUUCCUCUCAAUAUAGUGAUGAGUUCAUGCUAUAAGGCGUCCCUGGCCUGAUGCAAAAAAAGGCGAGAAGACUCAGGAUGACCCCAGCCUUAAUUUAAAUUAGGAAGGCAAAUCCUGACUGUUCCCAGUCUGCUGAAUGGAAUUAUGACUGACAGAAAGUUAUGGGCAAAAGGUAAAAGGACAAAACUAAAUACAUGACUAGGAACAGAGCUACAAACACUCCCUGCUCUUAGAGAUUAGGCUGAGACUCAAAUUACAAAAUGCCAUUUUGAACUGGUGGCCAGAGAACCAGAUUGAGGUAAUCACAAAACUCACUAACUCCAAAACCCGUGAAAAAGUUGAAUGGUAAAAAGGACAAAUGAAUAAUAGACAGCAAUCAAACAUUAACAUCAGAUAAAUGUGUACUCUAGAAGAAAUGUAACUACAUGGAACAAUUUGGGAGACUUAAAAAUAUAUUCAUCCUCAAAGCCAUAAAUGAUAGCCUAUAAAUUUUGAAAGAAACCAAUAAAUUAAUAGCCAAAAAAUUAAUAAAUAAGAAGGAAUUAAUCAAAAAAGAGUGAGAAAGAAUUUUAGAGUUGUAAAAUACAAUCACUGAAAUGAAAAGCUCAAAGCCUAAUUUAAAAAUUAAAAAUGAAUCUAUAGAAUUGAAGGUAACAUUACAAAGAUAGCAUAGAGACAAAGGCACAAAUGUCAUCAAGUAAUUAAGAAGUGAACAGUUAAUAGGUGUGACCAACACAAUUCAAGAAAUGAUGGAGAAUAGUUGAGAAUUUUGUAUGUGUACAUGAUUAGCAAAUCAAGAAUAAGCUCACAAUGUCAAGCAAAAUAAUAAAUACAAAUGCACAGAGUCCAUCAUAUUCAAGCAAAACAAAUCUUAUGAACUACUAGAGAGAAAAAAAGAGAUUAUCCCAUCAAGCAAACAGCAUGACAGAAACUUUGUAUCUACUAUUAGAAUCCAUAAGUCUGUAAAGUAUUAAAAAUUGUUAACAGAAAAAUCAGUGAGUGUGAAAUUUUAGACAUCAUUUAAAAUAGCAAAAUAAUAAUGUUGAUAUCUUUCAUAAAAAGAAUAAACACAUGCCUUCUGCUCUAAACAAGAAGUCACAGAAAUAGUUUUUUU